This 377-nucleotide ribosomal RNA is filed under the name uncultured eukaryote. RNAcentral's name for it is "partial 18S ribosomal RNA". It matches the Rfam family "Eukaryotic small subunit ribosomal RNA", at positions 592 to 975 of the family's 1831-position model. The record is from RNAcentral.
CAAUAGCGUAUAUUAAAGUUGUUGCAGUUAAAAAGCUCGUAGUUGGAUUUCUGUCCAAAUAGACCGUCCCGCCCUCUGGGUGUGUGUCUGGUCCGGUUGGACAUUCUUCUGGGGUACGUCCGGCAUCUUGGCGGUGUUGGACGGAACUCAGAUCCUUUACUUUGAGAAAAUUAGAGUGUUUCAAGCAAGCUUCUGCUUUGAAUACUGCAGCAUGGAAUAAUAUGAUAGGACUUUGGCUCUAUUUGUUGGUUUCUAGUACCGAAGUAAUGAUUAAUAGGGACAGUUGGGGGCAUUCGUAUUUAACUGUCAGAGGUGAAAUUCUUGGAUUUGUUAAAGACGAACUACUGCGAAAGCAUUUGCCAAGGAUGUUUNCAUUG